GCUCGAUCAUUAUUCGCUAGACUACAUGCUAA
RNAcentral lists this non-coding RNA (32 nucleotides) under Syntrophotalea carbinolica DSM 2380. Lineage: Bacteria; Pseudomonadati; Thermodesulfobacteriota; Desulfuromonadia; Desulfuromonadales; Syntrophotaleaceae. The record is from RNAcentral.